UUCAUCAGCAGAGGGACGCUGAAGGCUGUUCUGGAUCAUUGGACAGACAGAAGCCUGAAAGACAGAGAAGGAUGUCCAUGUUGGAGAACUUGCUGGGUGUUUGCUCCCACUGUCCCCUUAAGCCUCUGCUUUAGACUAUUCCCUCGCAUCAGUCAGCCGGUGAUGGAUGGCUUAAUUAAGGUGAAAGACAAUGAGGGGAUCUAUGGCAUAAAUCAGGUUAACAAUCUUUGGUUUGUAAAAAAUCUGAGAUUAAAAGUCAAAUUAAAAUUCUAAGUCUGAUUUGAUCAACAUGUAUACACAACUUCUAUCAGAAUUGGCACUAAGCAUGAAUUCCUCUAUAGCUUAAAUUAUUUCUGUACUGCAUGCUUUUAUGUUUGUGUCCUGAAUUUACUGGAAUUUAACCAGCUAACAAAAUCAUUUUUCAUUUUCAAUCAUUUUUCAAUCAUUUUCAGUAAACAUCUCAUGCUGUAUGGCUUGUAUUCCAGCUUUCUUGUUUUCUUCUUUCCUUUGACAACACGCUUUUUGUGUCUUAAAGCAAGGUAGAAUAGCCCUAUACACACCAUAUACUGUCAUGAUAUCACUAGACUUGGCAGACCCAAAUGGUGGAACCCGGAAGAAAAACCAGGAGAACGUUAGGUAAGUAGGAUGAUUUAAUUUACAGUCUGUAAGUUCAGUGGCAAACUUGAAGGCAGAGUUCAGAUGGUACAUGGUAAGAUGCGGAUCAGGAGUCUUGGCUAGGAGGCAAGGCGUGGCUGGAGGGUUUGGCAGUGGCCGAUCUGGAGGGCUUGACUUGAACUGGAUCUGAGGCGAAGACGAGGAGCAUGGAAUAAUCACAGUAACCAGGUGGGUAUCUUUUCCUGUAGGUGAGGCAUAAGGAGAAAAUUAGCGAGAGGAAACAAAGCAUGAUCAAGAUGCAUGAGGCGACCAGACUAUGCACCGUACAGUAAAAACGAACUGGCGAUGAAUACUGGAACUGGAUCUCCUUAAGAGGGCGGCAGGCUGAUGAGGUGAGUGGUCAUUGCUGGUCUCUUCAGGAACAGAGCAGAGACGGGAGGGGGAGGAGAGCUNNNNNNNNNNCCCAGAGACACCAUGACAUUUACUAUGUAUUUACAGUUUUUCUGUUUAAGACAUGUCUCUUUAAUCUGGUAAAUUUACCUUUUAAAUGAAUAGAUAAUUUUUCGCUUUUUGCCAUUUUUAAAGCUUUUCAUUGGAAGUGGUAG
Molecule: long non-coding RNA, 1220 nt
Filed under: Oryzias sinensis (Chinese medaka)
Lineage: Eukaryota; Metazoa; Chordata; Actinopteri; Beloniformes; Adrianichthyidae
Description: lncRNA (ENSOSIG00000003156.1)
Source: RNAcentral